UACGGAGGGUGCGAGCGUUAAUCGGAAUAACUGGGCGUAAAGGGCACGCAGGCGGGCUUUUAAGUCAGGUGUGAAAUCCCCGGGCUUAACCUGGGAAUAGCAUUUGAGACUGGGAGACUAGAGUACAUGAGGGAGGGGUAGAAUUCCACGUGUAGCGGUGAAAUGCGUAGAGAUGGGGAGGAAUACCGAAGGCGAAGGCGGCCCCUUGGGAAUGUACUGACGCUCAUGUGCGAAAGCGUGGGGAGCAAACAGG
This 253-nucleotide ribosomal RNA is filed under the name uncultured bacterium. Its description in RNAcentral is "partial 16S ribosomal RNA". It matches the Rfam family "Bacterial small subunit ribosomal RNA", at positions 524 to 776 of the family's 1533-position model. The record is from RNAcentral.